RNAcentral lists this ribosomal RNA (468 nucleotides) under uncultured bacterium. Its description in RNAcentral is "partial 16S ribosomal RNA". It matches the Rfam family "Bacterial small subunit ribosomal RNA", at positions 28 to 507 of the family's 1533-position model. The record is from RNAcentral.
GACGAACGCUGGCGGCGGGCUUAACACAUGCAAGUCGAACGGAAAGGCCCUGCUGCUGUGGGGUGCUCGAUUAGCGAACGGGUGAGUAACAUUUGAGUAACCUGCCCUUGACUUUCGGAUAACUUUAGGGAACUGGGGCUAAUACCGGAUAGUAUCUCCUGCUGCAUGGUGGGGGUUGUGAAGUUUCGGCGGUUGGGGAUGGACUCGCGCCAUGUCGGCUUGUUGGUGGGGUAGUGGCUUACCAAAGCGUUGACGGGUAGCUGGGCUGGGAGGAGGACCUGCUCAAUCGGGCCUGGACUGAGGCCCAGCCCACUCCGGGACGCAGCAGAGGGGUAUAUUGCACUAUGGGCUGAAGCCAGACGCAGCAACGCCGUGUGCGGUAUGAGGGCAUGCGGGUUGUAUUCCGAUUUCGCCUGUGACGAAGCGUGAGUGACGGUAAUGGGUAAAGAAGCACCGGCUAACUACGUG